AGGCGAGGUCCGCCCGCCCGCCGCGCUCCUUCCCGGGGCCGAGGGACUGGGAACCAAAUGGAGGUUGUGGGAGUCUGGUGGCCGUAAAGCUCCCCCGGGUGCUAACAGGAAAGCUGUAAACAGUUGCAUCAGGAGCUUGCUCAAGGAAAUAUCCUGGGGUUUUCUUCCUUUGCCGCUUACCAAACCAGGCCAGGUCUGGACUCCAAGAAGCGAGCAGCCACAGGUACAAUACUUCGGAUUCCAUGAACGUCAUGAUACUCAUUUUCUUACAAGUGUACAGUGAAGGUUUUUAGAGGCUACUUGACAUGUCCUCUUACAAAAAAGAAGACAGAAGAACCUCUUGUUAAGCCAGACAUUAAAGAGAUUUAAGAAAAGGAUUCCAGGGGCUGGCCCUGUGGCCGAGUGGUUAAGUUCACGCGCUCCGCUGCAGGCGGCC
Equus caballus (horse) is the source of this 436-nucleotide non-coding RNA. NCBI's taxonomy places the organism in Eukaryota, Metazoa, Chordata, Mammalia, Perissodactyla, Equidae. The record is from RefSeq and is a predicted model, not a curated record.